GAUGGCUUCAGGGCAGGGUUGCAGUGAAAUGUCAACCAUUUAUAUAGGCAUGCAGUAGGUGCAAAGUGUAUGGCUGUUGUCUCUUGGCACUCGUAACAUUUAUUCUCUCACUCAAUGCAGGUUGUGGCUGAAGAAUGAAAUCCAAACUCUCCAUUCACUGUUGCUUGAGUUGAUCAAAGCUUUUAUUACAAGAGCUAAAGUCGAGAUUGACAUUCUGAUGCCUGGUUAUACUCAUUUGCAGCGUGCUCAACCUAUCAGAUGGAGUCACUGGCUCUUGAGCUAUACCUGGGCAUUGAAGAGAGAUUGUGAAAGACUGGAGGAACUCUCUAAACGAGUUGAUGUCAAUCCUCUUGGAAGUGGUGCCAUUGCUGGAAAUCCUUUCAAUGUUGACCGCCAGUUUCUUGCCAAAGGUAAAAUUAUGGCUUAUU
Molecule: long non-coding RNA, 428 nt
Organism: Orbicella faveolata
Lineage: Eukaryota; Metazoa; Cnidaria; Anthozoa; Scleractinia; Merulinidae
Source: RefSeq, a predicted model, not a curated record